RNAcentral lists this ribosomal RNA (496 nucleotides) under uncultured bacterium. Its description in RNAcentral is "partial 16S ribosomal RNA". It matches the Rfam family "Bacterial small subunit ribosomal RNA", at positions 28 to 506 of the family's 1533-position model. The record is from RNAcentral.
GACGAACGCUGGCGGCGUGCCUAAUACAUGCAAGUUGAGCGCUGAAGGUUGGUACUUGUACCGACUGGAUGAGCAGCGAACGGGUGAGUAACGCGUGGGGAAUCUGCCUUUGAGCGGGGGACAACAUUUGGAAACGAAUGCUAAUACCGCAUAAAAACUUUAAACACAAGUUUUAAGUUUGAAAGAUGCAAUUGCAUCACUCAAAGAUGAUCCCGCGUUGUAUUAGCUAGUUGGUGAGGUAAAGGCUCACCAAGGCGAUGAUACAUAGCCGACCUGAGAGGGUGUGAGGGCACAUUAGGAACGAACCACGGCCCAAACCCCACGGGGAGGAACAAGGGGGGAAUCUUGGGCAAUGGACAAAAAUCUAACCGAGAAACGCCGCGUGAGUGAAAAAGGUUUUGGGAUCGUAAAACUCGGUUGGUAGGGAAAAACGGUGGUGAGAGGGGAAAGCGCGUCAAGUGACGUAACCUACCCAAAAAGGGGCGGCUAACUACGU